GUAGGCUAUAUAAUAAGCCAAGUAAGCCUAGUUACUUGCUCACUACCUAGUUACUUAUAUCUUACCUUUCUUUGUACGCGUGAGAUAACUACACUGAUACGUUAUCUAAAAUACGAUAAAGACAGACGGUGAUCAAGCGAUCGUAAAUAUCUCGUGCAACGUCCUCACAAUUGUGAGCGUUGGCUUGCGUGAAACUACCUGACAGCGAUACUCCAAGCCAAGAUGCACAGCAUGUCAUUCCACGGCGGCGUCACGGAAACUAUACUGUUUCACGGCUGGCGUAUCGAUAAUACGCAGGGAAUGAUCGGCUCCGUGGUCGGUGUCGUUCUUCUAACCGCGUUGUACGAAGGGCUGAAGUCUUAUCGAGAGUAUCUUUACUCGCGCACUACCUUCCUCAGGAGAAACCAGCACGCUAAAUCGAGACACGCACUACUGUUCUCCGGGCUUCAUCUCUUUCAAACGCUCCUGCACGUGAUCCAGGUGGUGCUCGGCUAUUUUCUCAUGUUUAUUUUUAUGACGUACAACUAUUGGCUCUGCAUCGCUAUCGGUGCCGGGACAGCUCUCGGAUAUUGGUUAUUCGCGUGGGAAAAAUCUAGUAACGAAAAUACGGAAUGUUGCUCGUAAAUAUAAUAUAUUAUUGUAAGAACGACUAUAAUAAGACUGUAUGACAGAUUAGUGUGUAAUAGGUCAAGACAAUCGGCUCACUUCUGUUCGAAGCGGGCGAAACAAGUUAACAAUACACGCAGCGUUGCCUCCUUGCCGCUGCUUUACGUAUACACCAACGUGAAAUUUUAUUUUCUUCCUGGUUGCUCGAUGCAGUUUCGCGAACAGACCGAGUACCGAGUAAUGACUCGAGGAAAGUAUAAUACUUACUGUGUGUUUUAGCAGAUAAGAAUACGAGAGAGACUUUGUAGAUAGAUUUCCGCAGUCUCGAGCAAUUGAGUAUCAAUAUUCGUUAUCUAAUCUGUUCUUUCUGUGUGGAGCACCGUGUGUUUCCUUGAUUCGUUGUAUCAAUCAGAGUAGAUGGAUCGUCUGGUCGAAUAAUUCGCCAUUCGACGUCGAUCAGCGAUAUAAUAAGAGUUAAACACACGAUGGCGGAUAAUCGGAGUUGCGCAGCUAUUUGUUGCUCGGGAUCCAACGAUCGUAUGCGACAAUGCCUUUCGGUUCGCCAAAUUAUUUUUGGAUGGGACAAGUUCAGUGCCUCGACGUGGUUCCUACUGCUGUUACUCUUUUGCAUUUGGUGUCUAACAUUCUUCCUCACUUACAAACCUAAGCCAGAAGAAAGUGAUCAUAUGGGACAUUGAAGUGAAAAAAUGUAUGUCGACAAGAUCGUUGGUAUCGUCAACGUAAAAAAAAAAUGGAGAGAAACAUGUUUAGAUGUAAUUGACCAGAUAUCAAAACCGAAUCAUUGUGUGGGCUUAUUAUAUUAAUGAAGAUACUCAUCCAUCUCAAUGAAACGCUAAAGCGCAACGAUUAUUAAUUGAGAAGAAGAGACAGCUUCUUUAAAAGUAAAUUUGCGAUGAGAAAAUGUAUACCUUGUAUAUUUGACAAAUAAUGAA
RNAcentral lists this unclassified non-coding RNA (1559 nucleotides) under Harpegnathos saltator (Jerdon's jumping ant). RNAcentral's name for it is "high affinity copper uptake protein 1, transcript variant X1". Lineage: Eukaryota; Metazoa; Arthropoda; Insecta; Hymenoptera; Formicidae. The record is from RNAcentral.